This 253-nucleotide ribosomal RNA is filed under the name uncultured bacterium. RNAcentral describes it as "partial 16S ribosomal RNA". It matches the Rfam family "Bacterial small subunit ribosomal RNA", at positions 524 to 776 of the family's 1533-position model. The record is from RNAcentral.
UACGUAGGGUCCGAGCGUUGUCCGGAGUUACUGGGCGUAAAGCGCGCGCAGGCGGCCCACGAGGUGUCACGUGAAAGCCCCGGGCUCAACUCGGGAGGGUCGUGGCAAACCGGUGGGCUUGAGGCCGGUAGAGGUGGGUGGAACUCCUGGUGGAGUGGUGAAAUGCGUAGAGAUCAGGAAGAACACCCGUGGCGAAGGCGGCCCACUGGGCCGGUACUGACGCUGAAGCGCGAAGGCGUGGGGAGCGAACGGG